UGGUGUCAGCCGCCGCGGUAAAACCAGCACCUCAAGUGGUCAGGAGGAUUAUUGGGCCUAAAGCAUCCGUAGCCUAUUCUAUAAGUUUGCGGUUAAAUCUAUACGCUCAACGUAUAGGCUGCCGUAAAUACUGUAGAACUAGGGAGUGGGAGAGGUAGACGGUACUCGAUAGGAAGGGGUAAAAUCCUUUGAUCUAUUGAUGACCACCUGUGGCGAAGGCGGUCUACCAGAACAUGUUCGACGGUGAGGGAUGAAAGCUGGGGGAGCAAACCGGAUUAGAUACCCGGGUAGUCCCAGCUGUAAACGAUGCAGACUCGAUGAUGCAAUGGCAUAGAGCUAUUGCAGUAUCGCAGGGAAGCCGUUAAGUCUGCCGCCUGGGAAGUACGUACGCAAGUAUGAAACUUAAAGGAAUUGGCGGGGGAGCACCACAAGGGGUGAAGCCUGCGGUUC
Molecule: ribosomal RNA, 450 nt
Filed under: uncultured crenarchaeote
Lineage: Archaea; Thermoproteati; Thermoproteota
Description: bacterial SSU rRNA
Rfam family: Archaeal small subunit ribosomal RNA
Source: RNAcentral